Molecule: ribosomal RNA, 492 nt
Filed under: uncultured bacterium
Lineage: Bacteria
Description: partial 16S ribosomal RNA
Rfam family: Bacterial small subunit ribosomal RNA
Source: RNAcentral
AGUGAACGCUGGCGGUAGGCCUAACACAUGCAAGUCGAACGGCAGCACAGUAAGAGCUUGCUCUUACGGGUGGCGAGUGGCGGACGGGUGAGGAAUACAUCGGAAUCUACUUUUUCGUGGGGGAUAACGUAGGGAAACUUACGCUAAUACCGCAUACGACCUACGGGUGGAAGCAGGGGAUCUUCGGACCUUGCGCGAUUGAAUGAGCCGAUGUCGGAUUAGCUAGUUGGCGGGGUAAAGGCCCACCAAGGCGACGAUCCGUAGCUGGUCUGAGAGGAUGAUCAGCCACACUGGAACUGAGACACGGUCCAGACUCCUACGGGAGGCAGCAGUGGGGAAUAUUGGACAAUGGGCGCAAGCCUGAUCCAGCCAUACCGCGUGGGUGAAGAAGGCCUUCGGGUUGUAAAGCCCUUUUGUUGGGAAAGAAAAGCAGCAGGUUAAUACCCCGCUGUUCUGACGGUACCCAAAGAAUAAGCACCGGCUAACUCCGUG